UACGUAGGUGGCGAGCGUUGUCCGGAUUUACUGGGCGUAAAGCGUGCGUAGGCGGUUCGCUAAGUCGGUUGUGAAAUCCCUGGGCUUAACCUGGGAACUGCAGUCGAUACUGGUGGACUAGAGUACGGUAGAGGGUGGCGGAACUCCGGGUGUAGCGGUGAAAUGCGUAGAUAUCCGGAAGAACACCGAUGGCGAAGGCAACCACCUGGGCCUGUACUGACGCUGAGGUGCGAAAGCGUGGGGAGCAAACAGG
This 253-nucleotide ribosomal RNA is filed under the name uncultured bacterium. RNAcentral describes it as "partial 16S ribosomal RNA". It matches the Rfam family "Bacterial small subunit ribosomal RNA", at positions 524 to 776 of the family's 1533-position model. The record is from RNAcentral.